UCUCCCAUCUCAGGCACGCCAGGCCUCCCCUCUCCUAGGCCCGCCUUGCACGCCUCAGUUCCCUCUCUGCUUCCACACACACGUCUCUCCCAGACACCGUCACAUGUAAUAAUCACUUUUUUCAAAUACAGCACAGGUCAUUUCUUUACUUUUGGGAAAUAAUACCACAGCACUUUCAGAGUUACAGUCAGGCCUUUAUUUCAUUCUCCGGGCUCCUUGUCCUCCCAUGUUCUUCAGCUCAUUCCUGGCGCAGACAGCAUUUCUUUAUCCCAAACCAACAGGAACCAAGACGUUCAUGAUCUUCUGGGCAAGCAAACCAUUUACACUGGGCACCAACCCGCUCGCACUCCUCUUCUGAGUCUAUGCGCUGGGUGGAGGCUGUGGAGAGGAAAAAUCUUUCGGUCACUAAGUAGGGAGUAAUAUUCCCUGUGAAUGUGGGGACAUGACACGGGCCCUGAGGAGCUGGCAGGAGAGGCUCCUUCUGCAGGCGCCUCCCUCAGAAACCCUACGGAGCCCCCGCUCCUUCUGCUCUGCUGCCACUGCUGCGUUCGUUCCUGGCGGGCAGGACAGCCUCUGCUCUAAAGAGGGCAGGUACCGAAGUGUCUGCCCUGAAUGCUGACUCAAGGCUCCCCUGCCUGCGCCCCAGUGUUCAGCCCCUGCUCAAGAUACUCCAGGGGACUCUGUGCAGCCUCACGCAGCCUGAUGAGAACCACCUCACACUGCACAGUCCCAGCACGCUCUGGGCACAAAAGGACAGGAGAGAUUGGGCCAGAGGAACUGGGCAGAAAGAGCAGACCGGGGUCAGGGGCCUUCCGCCCUGCUGCCCUCUGUGCUGCAUCCAGGCCUCAGCUGUGGCAGGGGUGUGGGCCUGUCACCGUGGGCCAUCUAGUCAGAGACCACACACAGUAAAAGGGCAGGGAUCACAGAGGGGGAACACACCUGGCAUGUCUCUGCUGCUCCGCGAGGACCCUCCUAAGCUCUCCCUUGUUUGUCCUCAAUUAGACUCUGUACGACUCUGGGGUUUGUCCUCCUUUUCAGGAGAAGACAAGGUUGAGUUUGAGGACAGCUCAGAGACUUGUCUAAGUGCACACUGUGAGUCAGCAUCGGAGCUGAGAAAAACACACUGGUGUUUUGGCUCCUGGCUCCAGCUCUCUCCUUUAUCCUGGGCUCUCUCCCAGGCAGGGAAGUCGCACAGCAAAUGAGCCCUGGGGAUGACACCUCAUUAUCCCCAUGGCCUCUUCCAAGGCCUGAAAGCCUGGCCUGGCCCCGUGGUGUUGUCUCUACCUACUCACUGGGUUCAUCUUCCAGGGAAAUGACCCCAAACUUAGCCUGAGAGUUACUGAGGGCCAUGUUUCAGUCCAUUAAGAGCAUGCUAAGAAUCUCCCAUGAGACAUUCAUUCUUUGGUUGAUACUCUCCUUGAUGCUCAGAUUUAUUACUUAUUUCCAGACCCUGAGCCACUCCACUUAUAUGGCCUGUGUCCCAUUCCCUGGGCAUGAGAACCCCAUGCCCCACAUCAGCCUGGCUUCAGAGCUCACCUGGGCCAAAGUGAGGAAAGAGGAUGAAGCAGGUCAGGAGCACGAAGCAGAGGCCCCGCAUGGUGAAUGCAGGUUGGACCGUGGGCUGCAGGAGAAGAGGAGGAGCUGCUCUGAGACUGGGACCAGCGAGGGUGCUGCGAGUGGGGGGAACGGCUGUUUAUAUGGUUCCUA
Molecule: long non-coding RNA, 1707 nt
Organism: Equus asinus (donkey)
Lineage: Eukaryota; Metazoa; Chordata; Mammalia; Perissodactyla; Equidae
Source: Ensembl